Molecule: ribosomal RNA, 484 nt
Filed under: uncultured bacterium
Lineage: Bacteria
Description: partial 16S ribosomal RNA
Rfam family: Bacterial small subunit ribosomal RNA
Source: RNAcentral
AUUGAACGCUGGCGGCAGGCCUAACACAUGCAAGUCGAGCGGAUGAAGGGAGCUUGCUCCUGGAUUCAGCGGCGGACGGGUGAGUAAUGCCUAGGAAUCUGCCUGGUAGUGGGGGAUAACGUCCGGAAACGGGCGCUAAUACCGCAUACGUCCUGAGGGAGAAAGUGGGGGAUCUUCGGGCCUCACGCUAUCAGAUGAGCCUAGGUCGGAUUAGCUAGUUGGUGGGGUAAAGGCCUACCAAGGCGACGAUCCGUAACUGGUCUGAGAGGAUGAUCAGUCACACUGGAACUGAGACACGGUCCAGACUCCUACGGGAGGCAGCAGUGGGGAAUAUUGGACAAUGGGCGAAAGCCUGAUCCAGCCAUGCCGCGUGUGUGAAGAAGGUCUUCGGAUUGUAAAGCACUUUAAGUUGGGAGGAAGGGCAGUAAGUUAAUACCUUGCUGUUUUGACGUUACCAACAGAAUAAGCAUCGGCUAACUUCGUG